This 69-nucleotide transfer RNA is filed under the name Scapanulus oweni (Gansu mole). RNAcentral's name for it is "tRNA-His". It matches the Rfam family "tRNA". Rfam says of the family: Transfer RNA (tRNA) molecules are approximately 80 nucleotides in length. Their secondary structure includes four short double-helical elements and three loops (D, anti-codon, and T loops). Further hydrogen bonds mediate the characteristic L-shaped molecular structure. tRNAs have two regions of fundamental functional importance: the anti-codon, which is responsible for specific mRNA codon recognition, and the 3' end, to which the tRNAs corresponding amino acid is attached (by aminoacyl-tRNA synthetases). tRNAs cope with the degeneracy of the genetic code in two manners: having more than one tRNA (with a specific anti-codon) for a particular amino acid; and 'wobble' base-pairing, i.e. permitting non-standard base-pairing at the 3rd anti-codon position. The record is from RNAcentral. Lineage: Eukaryota; Metazoa; Chordata; Mammalia; Eulipotyphla; Talpidae.
GUAAAUAUAGUUUGAUCAAAACUUUAGAUUGUGAAUCUGACAACAGAAGGUUACUUCUUCUUAUUUACC